This 253-nucleotide ribosomal RNA is filed under the name uncultured bacterium. RNAcentral describes it as "partial 16S ribosomal RNA". It matches the Rfam family "Bacterial small subunit ribosomal RNA", at positions 524 to 776 of the family's 1533-position model. The record is from RNAcentral.
UACGUAGGGGGCAAGCGUUGUCCAGAAUUAUUGGGCGUAAAGCGCACGCAGGCGGUUCGCUAAGUUCGAGGUGACAAUCACCGGCUUAACCGGUGAACGAUUUCGAAAACUGGCGGACUUGAGAGCGAGAGAGGGACAUGGAACUCCGGGUGGAGCGGUGAAAUGCGUAGAGAUCCGGAAGAACACCAAUAGCGAAGGCAGUGUCCUGGCUCGUAUCUGACGCUGAGGUGCGAAAGCUAGGGGAGCGAACGGG